RNAcentral lists this long non-coding RNA (399 nucleotides) under Rosa chinensis. Its description in RNAcentral is "sRNA RchiOBHm_Chr7g0221151". It matches the Rfam family "Bacterial small subunit ribosomal RNA", at positions 9 to 393 of the family's 1533-position model. The record is from Rfam by way of RNAcentral. Lineage: Eukaryota; Viridiplantae; Streptophyta; Magnoliopsida; Rosales; Rosaceae.
GAGUUCGAUCCUGGCUCAGGAUGAACACUAGCGGCAUGCUUAACACAUGCAAGUCGGACGGGAAGUGGUGUUUCCAGUGGCGGACGGGUAAGUAACCCGUAAGAACCUGCCUUUGGGAGGCGAACAACAGCUGGAAAUGGCUGCUAAUACCCCGUAGGCUGAGGAGCAAAAGGAGGAAUCCGCCCGAGGAGGGGCUCGAGUCUGAUUAUCUAGUUGGUGAGGCAAUAGCUUACCAAGGCAAUGAUCAGUAGCUGGUCCAAGAGGAUGAUCAGCCACACUGGGAUUGAUACACGACCCAGACUCCUACGGGAGUCAGCAGUGGGGGGCAAGAAUUCUGGCCUCACAAUCACUAGCCAUUAUGCUUUUCUCUCAUGCCAUUCUUCGUUCAUGGUUCUAUAU